CGCCAGACUCCUACGGGAGGCAGCAGUGAGGAAUAUUGGUCAAUGGGCGGAAGCCUGAACCAGCCAAGUCGCGUGAGGGAGGAAGGCCCUGCGGGUCGCAGACCUCUUUGGACGGGGAGCAAGGCCGCCGACGUGUCGGCGGAAGGAGAGUACCCGUAGAACAAGCAUCGGCUAACUCCGUGCCAGCAGCCGCGGUAAUACGGAGGGUGCGAGCGUUAAUCGGAAUUACUGGGCGUAAAGCGCACGUAGGCUGUAUGACAAGUCAAGGGUGAAAUGCCACGGCUCAACCGUGGAACUGCCUUUGAAACUGUCAAACUGGAGUAUGUGAGAGGGCGGCGGAAUUCCUGGUGUAGGAGUGAAAUCCGUAGAUAUCAGGAGGAACAUCAGUGGCGAAGGCGGCCGCCUGGCACAAAACUGACGCUGAGGUGCGAAAGCGUGGGUAGCAAACAGGAUUAGAUACCCGCGUAC
This 468-nucleotide ribosomal RNA is filed under the name uncultured bacterium. Its description in RNAcentral is "bacterial SSU rRNA". It matches the Rfam family "Bacterial small subunit ribosomal RNA", at positions 329 to 793 of the family's 1533-position model. The record is from RNAcentral.